UAAUACGUAGGGGGCGAGCGUUAUCCGGAAUUAUUGGGCGUAAAGAGUGCGUAGGUGGUUUUUUAAGCGUGGGGUGAAAGGCAAUAGCUUAACUAUUGUAAGCCCCGCGAACUGGGAGACUUGAGUGCAGGAGAGGAAAGCGGAAUUCCUAGUGUAGCGGUGAAAUGCGUAGAUAUUAGGAGGAACACCAGUGGCGAAGGCGGCUUUCUGGACUGUAACUGACACUGAGGCACGAAAGCGUGGGGAGCAAACAGG
Molecule: ribosomal RNA, 255 nt
Filed under: uncultured bacterium
Lineage: Bacteria
Description: partial 16S ribosomal RNA
Rfam family: Bacterial small subunit ribosomal RNA
Source: RNAcentral